Xenopus laevis (African clawed frog) is the source of this 137-nucleotide non-coding RNA. NCBI's taxonomy places the organism in Eukaryota, Metazoa, Chordata, Amphibia, Anura, Pipidae. The record is from Rfam.
UGCCUUUGUGUUACCCACUCAUGUUUGGAAGUAACGAGUGUGGCGUCAAGAAAGGCAAACAGUAUAUCCCUGUUACCAACCUCGAAAUGCCUCUGGCUCUAUCUACGCCCCUGGCACAUGGUAACUUGGAGACACUU